GCGGCGCCGGUGCGCCGGAUUCGGCGGCGACCGUGUCGUCGGCGGUCGGGCGGGCCGUGUCGGUGGGUGCGGGACGGUCCGAUGCCGCUGGUGCCGCG
RNAcentral lists this transfer RNA (98 nucleotides) under Nocardia farcinica. RNAcentral describes it as "tRNA-Thr(cgt)". Lineage: Bacteria; Bacillati; Actinomycetota; Actinomycetes; Mycobacteriales; Nocardiaceae. The record is from RNAcentral.